UGGGGGUUAGUUCAGUGGUUAGAACACCGGAUUUUGAUUCCGGGUGUCGCAGGUUCGAGUCCUGCACCCUCUGCCA
Molecule: transfer RNA, 76 nt
Filed under: Candidatus Saccharimonadota bacterium
Lineage: Bacteria; Candidatus Saccharimonadota
Description: tRNA-Gln
Rfam family: tRNA
About the family: Transfer RNA (tRNA) molecules are approximately 80 nucleotides in length.
Source: RNAcentral